GUUCUUCUCCGAGCCGGGCAGCCGGCGGUCCUCAGCCGCCCACAGAACAGGAGCCGAAACAACCGUUCUCGAAGGCUACAGCGUUUAUUUUUCUCUUUUGGGGGGUUUUGGCGGUUGUUUCAGGGGCUCGCCAACUGGCCCCUUUAAUUAAAAGCUUCAAUAAAAGGCGAUCGCGCCAGGAAUGCACCCGCUCCUCUUCGCGCAGGAUUUGCAUAUUUUUUUAAUGCCCUAAUUUCCUUGAUGUAUGUAAAUGUAGCCGGACGUAGAGGGAGACAGGGAGCUGACGUCAAUGGACGUGACCUCGCAGCUAAACCUUGAACGUGAAGCCGGGAUGGGGGAAAACACGGAGCGGCAGCCGGCGGAGCCCGAGAGCGCGGGCGGCGGCGGCAGUAGCCGAGCCCAGGCCGGGGUGCCAAGGGACCAGUGCCGGCCCCGGGGGAGGACAAGCCGCCGCCUUCUUUCUGCACCGCGCGGCUCUCAGACUCGCCAGCCUUCCGGCCGCACACGCAGACUCUUGCCCUGAGCUUCCAGCCCCACCACACACACGUUCUUUUGCUUCCCUCAGAAAAGCAACACUCCCCAAAACAACAAACCAAAAUCAACAGAUAAAACAGAUGUUUUAGACCAAUGCUCGGGUAGCUUAUCAGAAAGAAGACUCUGACCACGGAACAUAUAUAUUUUUUGGCUUCUCUCCACAAGAAGAGGAGCGAGAGACCACAGACAACAGCAAAUCACUCCUAAAACACGAUAACUACAAGUGCUCCCUGUAGGGAGAGGUAAAUCGCCCAGCCGACUGGUGAAGUCUUCUGGUUUCGACGCCGAAAGAAGCCUGUUUGUGUGCUGCGGCCGUGCUGUGACUUUGGAUCUUGUCUUUCAGCCGGCGCCUCGGUUCCUGCCCAGCUGGAUUUGGGGGGCAGCAUUGCCUGGCGCAGGGAGAUCAAAUGAGACUGCAAAGAAGCAUAAAAUGAAUAGACAAUCCAACCAACCAAAGACCGGGGGCAGCAGCAGGCCAGCAAGACGGCAUCUUCUCCUUCCCAGCCUAGAAGCCCUGUGAAAUCGAGGAUCUUCCCCCUAAAACACAUACACACAAGAUAUGUGCAAUCAAGCUGCCACCGCUUGGUAAAAAGCCAUGGUGCCUAACCAAAAAGGAUCAGGAACAGAUCCUUGAAUCAGCUGUCACUUCUAUAGAAUGGGAUUUUUUUUUCCUUCCUCCUUAACCUGCGCUGGAAAUUGCCGUUGGCUUUAUACAUCUCUAUAGAGAGAGGCUAAAGAGUCUUGCGUGAGAAAGAAGCAAUUUACAAUGCAAAUAGAGGCCUGUGAAGGGACGGAUGCUGCUGCUCACUCGUAACAGCUUGCUGCACCUUAAUAGCUGGUUUUAUUUUCUGAUAUUAAUAGAUGAAUUGUUGGCUAACGCUGCCGGAGAUUACUUGCUGAAAGGAAAAAGAAAAGUUCGGAAUAAACUCUGAAGGCAACAGAUCUCGUUUGGAUGUUUUAGCCGCGCACACACACAAACAGAAACCAGGUCAUAUUUACAUAAAAGGAGGAAUCUUAAGCGCGGCAAGUAUCCUGGACGACCACUCUUCGGUACUGCCAGAAAGGAUCAGGACCUGGAGUCUGGCAAGAGGAAGACAGAGGCCUGUGUGGGAAGCGAGUUGUUAUCUUUGGUUAUCUAGCUGUAUGAGUGUAUUGGUCUUCAUAAAGCUAGAUAACCGAAAGUAAAAACUCCUUCAAGAUCGCCGGGGAGCGUGUGAGAAUGAAAGACUACAGCCGAGAGACAGUAAAAACCAGAAAGGUCAGGAAUACUUAUUGAAUCUAACUUUGUUUUUGUUUUGUUUUUUUCCUUAUGAUUAAAGGUGGGAUGAGAGAAAAUUAAAUGACACACACAUGCUAAAAUAUCAAGGUUCCAGAUAUGUCUUGAGAGGGGUUGUUGCAGCUGCAAAGGAGAAGUGUAUAGUGAUAAUGAGUAAAGAUGCAUGUGCAGUUUGUUCUAUUUUAAGGCAAAAGUUAUAUCAGGGAUUUUUUUCUUAGAAAGGUGUUGCAGAGAUGUCUGGUACCUAGUUUAAAAAUGAUUCCAUAAUAUGUAGACUUGGGCAGUUCCUUUGGGAGGCACCUCCCUCUCAAAAUUUGAAGAUUGUGCUUGGAAAUUACUUUACAUGUAUUUGGGCUGUAUGUCAAUUUGUACGAAAUUAGACUUUCAGAAAAGUUUAUACUGGAAGGUUAAUAAUUUGUAUCUACUGAGGACUUAGAGCUAGCAGGCAAAAUG
RNAcentral lists this long non-coding RNA (2263 nucleotides) under Homo sapiens (human). RNAcentral describes it as "non-protein coding LINC00461:41". The stretch from base 1650 to 1725 matches the Rfam family "mir-9/mir-79 microRNA precursor family". Lineage: Eukaryota; Metazoa; Chordata; Mammalia; Primates; Hominidae. The record is from RNAcentral.